UUGGAAGAUUGUUAUAAGGACCAUUAGAUGAAGAAAUAACAUCAUUUUACCACUUUCAAACUUCAUCUUCUUUCUCCUUCUUCCUCUCUUGUUUUCGCCCAUAGCCACACACACACAUCCACAUUUUCUUUCACCAUUCAAGCAAAUCUAAGGCUAUACAAAGGUGUACAAGGAUGACCUAAGAAGGUAACAAGCAAAGGAAGUUGAAGGACCACCUCUAGGAGCUUUUAUCCAACCAUCUUCUUCAUUCUUCAUCUUCUUCUUGUUCUUGCCACAUCCCUAGCCACAAGAGCCAGUGGUAAGUUCCAUAGUCCAUCUUUUACUUCAUGUUAAGCUUAUGUUACGACAUUCAAGUAGUGGACGCCGAUCUACUUUUUUCAAACGCAAACAGCUUGCCACCGUACGCGCUUUUCAAUCUAGAUCUGAAACAACCGCCCUGCUUGUUAAUUGUAAUAUAG
Molecule: long non-coding RNA, 458 nt
Filed under: Helianthus annuus (common sunflower)
Lineage: Eukaryota; Viridiplantae; Streptophyta; Magnoliopsida; Asterales; Asteraceae
Source: RNAcentral